UCAUUGAGAAUUUCGUAUCACCG
This 23-nucleotide non-coding RNA is filed under the name Arabidopsis thaliana (thale cress). The record is from RNAcentral. Lineage: Eukaryota; Viridiplantae; Streptophyta; Magnoliopsida; Brassicales; Brassicaceae.